CACCACGGGAUAACCCGGCGAAAGUCGGACUAAUACCGUAUGUUGUCCCAUUGACGGCAUCCGAUUUGGACGAAAGGCUUGGCGGUGAGGGAUGGGGAUGCGUCCGAUUAGCCAGACGGCGGGGUAACGGCCCACCGUGGCGACGAUCGGUAGGGGUUCUGAGAGGAAGGUCCCCCACACUGGAACUGAGACACGGUCCAGACUCCUACGGGAGGCAGCAGUGAGGAAUAUUGGUCAAUGGGCGUAAGCCUGAACCAGCCAAGUAGCGUGCAGGACGACGGCCCUAUGGGUUGUAAACUGCUUUUAUGCGGGGAUAAAGUGGCCCACGUGUGGGUUUUUGCAGGUACCGCAUGAAUAAGGACCGGCUAAUUCCGUGCCAGCAGCCGCGGUAAUACGGAAGGUCCGGGCGUUAUCCGGAUUUAUUGGGUUUAAAGGGAGCGUAGGCCGCGCCUUAAGCGUGUUGUGAAAUCCGGGUGCUCAACAUCCGGCUUGCAGCGCGAACUGGGGCGCUUGAGUGCGCAGAAAGUAGGCGGAAUUCGUGGUGUAGCGGUGAAAUGCUUAGAUAUCACGAGGAACUCCGAUUGCGAAGGCAGCCUACUGUAGCGCUACUGACGCUGAUGCUCGAAAGCGUGGGUAUCGAACAGGAUUAGAUACCCUGGUAGUCCACGCGGUAAACGAUGGAUGCUCGUUGUCGGCCCUUUGGGUCGGUGACCAAGCGAAAGCGUUAAGCAUCCCACCUGGGGAGUACGCCGGCAACGGUGAAACUCAAAGGAAUUGACGGU
RNAcentral lists this ribosomal RNA (782 nucleotides) under uncultured bacterium. RNAcentral describes it as "bacterial SSU rRNA". It matches the Rfam family "Bacterial small subunit ribosomal RNA", at positions 134 to 917 of the family's 1533-position model. The record is from RNAcentral.